AUCCAGCUGACAAGUCCCGAAUAGGACGAAACAUACGUCCUGGAU
Molecule: non-coding RNA, 45 nt
Organism: Schistosoma mansoni
Lineage: Eukaryota; Metazoa; Platyhelminthes; Trematoda; Strigeidida; Schistosomatidae
Source: Rfam